UACGUAGGGUGCAAGCGUUGUCCGGAAUUAUUGGGCGUAAAGAGCUCGUAGGCGGCUUGCCAAGUCAGGGGUGAAAUCUUUCGGCUCAACCGGAAAAGUGCUUCUGAUACUGGCGGGCUGGAGGAGGGUAGGGGCAGAUGGAACUUCCGGUGGAGCGGUGAAAUGCGUAGAUAUCGGAAGGAACGCCGGUGGCGAAAGCGAUCUGCUGGACCCUUUCUGACGCUGAGGCGCGAAAGCCAGGGGAGCAAACGGG
RNAcentral lists this ribosomal RNA (253 nucleotides) under uncultured bacterium. RNAcentral's name for it is "partial 16S ribosomal RNA". It matches the Rfam family "Bacterial small subunit ribosomal RNA", at positions 524 to 776 of the family's 1533-position model. The record is from RNAcentral.